ACACGCUUCCCCACUGAGGGAAGACCAUGUGACUAUACAACAGGAAGGUAGUUGUUUACAAGCCAGGAAGAGAGCCCUCACCAGAAACCAAAUUGGCUGGCGCCUUGAUCAUGGACUCCUGGGCUCCGGAACUGUAAGAAAAUUUGUGUUGUGGAAGCCACCCAGCCCAUGGUAUUUCGUUAUGGCAGCCUGAGCAGAGGUGGUAGCUAUGUGGACAGUUUUUGGACUUCUCUAUUGUUGCCCUUCAUCACUCAGCAGUGAAGAAUGAAAAUCAACAGAGCUUUCCCCAGCCUGCUGCUUAAGCAGCUGCUAGCAGGCUGAGGCUGCCCAGCCUCAUUAACCCAUUAGAUGCUGCGUUCGCCCGGGAGUCAUUCUUAAUGAGGCUGCUGCAGAUGAGAAAACAGAAGCAAAGGCAGAAAGAUGCUACAUUGCCAGCUUUGAAGAUGGAGGGAAGAGGUCACAAACCAAGGAAGGCAAUGAGGACGUUGCACAAGACAGUCCCUGAUACCCAGAGUUUACUGCCUAAGAGAGGAUACAUCCUUCAAACCAAUAAUCUGCUAAUAGCAAGAUCCAAUAGCUUCAUGGAUAUUGAAAGAAACUGAGAAUCAAAUUUGCAUACUUCUGAGUCACUUGGAAACAAAAAACAAGUACAGUCUUAGAUUCUGAGGGAACAAAAAUUAAAAAUCACAUUAGGAAGAGAAUUCCUAAUGUAGGAACUCAUCCUGGAAGAUUCUUCAGCAAAAGUACAGACAAUAAUAAUAAUACUCCAUGAAGUUACCAUCGAUAUUGAAUGAAUUAAUGAAUGUAAAAACCUCAAAACCCUGCCUGGCCCAGAGCUUUGGAAUGGGUUUGGAUCUACCACUCAACUGCUUUAUGACUUCAGACCAGUUAUUUAAAUUCCCUGAAGCUCAGUUUCCACAUCUUUGAGUUUUUAUUAAUGACCUGCCGACAUCAUACAGUUCAUGAAAUGCUCUGGAUGUGUACAUGCUGAUGAUACGACCUCAGACCCAGCAAGAGCUCAGUGCAGCCCGGAGAGCUGUGAGCAGUGCCACAGGAGGAGAUGACUGGUGAGUGAAAUAAGCAAGAUAGGAGUUGAAGUGUACAUGAAGCAGAGUCCAAGCCUUCUCCUUCUGGAUGUUCAGCUGGAUCAUCCUGACUGCUCCCACUUUCAUCUUGGCUUUCAAAGGCAAGAGGAAAUUAUAAGGAAUAUUCUGAGUGGCUUUCAUCCAGGAGUUCUGUGGGACCCGCAACACCUGGAUGGUAGAUGCAAACAGAUAAAGAAUAUUGGUCACCAAAAGGAGUUCUUUUCAUCAUAGAUCUCUGAAGGUAGACACCUAUUUGCAGACUUCUCAAAGGGCUAUAUGGAUGUGCUCUACUUGUUGGAGGAUUGUCCAUCCACUCUUCUUCCUGUACUUACCAGGACAGAACAGCCGCAACUUCUCAGACAGUUCAUUCUUCUUUUCCUCACCUACUACCAUCUAAGAAAGGUACUUGAUGACUGUGGCUUUAGACAAGAGUCCUUUUCUUACCACAGGGUGGGCAGCACCAGCUCAUUAGAACCAUUUGUGUGACUGACUGAAGACAGCUCACCUUGGAACACUGCAGGCCUCCAAAGAAGUCUACAAAUUCCAUCAGUCAGUAACGGCUUGGAGUUCCAAAGCUUAUGACUCAAAGGUGAUCAGAGCAUGGACCUGGGGCUAGUCUGGAUUGGUAACUGCUAAACUUGGAUACAUGGCUUCUGAUGGCCCUGCUGGGGAGACCAUGUGGAGAGAUGGCAUAGAGCCAGAGAUUCACGUUCCAGGAGCCCUGACUGUCUCAUCUCAGGGAAUUGAAUCUCCUUGUGCUCCAGACCCUAUGAGAGGAUGCCAUCCCCUGCUACCAUCUGACUGCAACCUCAGGAGACACCCCAAGCCAGAACUGAGCAGCCAAGCCACUCUCAUAUUCUUGACCCAUAGACAUUGGGAGAUAAAAACUGAUUGUUGUCAAUUUUAGUCAGUACAUUUUAGGGCAAUUUGAUGUCCUAGCAAUAGACUAGUAUAUUUAUCCAUUGCUGCAUCUUCUUCUGCUUAGAUUAUGAUGCAUGUUUUUUAGCUCCAACUAGUAUCUAAACUUGUCAUGGUCUUUGCUUGAAAGUUUGAUUUUUUGCUGCCCUUGAACUUUACCCCUGAUUCCAAUUUACCCAUUUGUUUUGGUUUAGUUUAAGGAGAUUGUAAACAAGUAUGCCUACAAGGGCCAUGCAACAAAUGCUAAAAAGAGAAGUAGACCUGGGCAGGGAGGCAAGGGAGCGGAAAGAUGUGUAGUACGUUCAGCUCAGGUCACGUUCAUCAUCCAGCUCUGGAAGAUGGAUCCAGUGGGCAUGUGUGCCUAAUGAUGCCACAUUAUCUGAUUUUUUUCUCCAAAAGAAAAAUCAAGAUUUUUAUUAAAAAUCUUCUGGUUUAAAAAAAUUUAAAUGCUAUUCAAAUUUCAAUAACAACCAUGCCAGAUAAAAAAUAGCUACUGACUGAACUUAGCCAUGAUCUGCCAACUUGCAACCUCCAAAUUAGAAGUUUUUAGCCACUAUGGAUGUUAGGAAGACCUGAAACACAGAAUAGAGAGAUUCCAAUUUUUCUAGUGACAAUGAGUCCUGAGAAAGGUGACAAAAUCAGAAUAACCUUUGGAGAAAGAUAAAUGCUACUAUCAGUGGAAUGGGAUUCAGUCUUCAGCCUGUUGUAGUAAUUCAGUAAGCACAUGUGGUCAUUGAGUGAACUCGCAUGGCCAAUACAAGGUAAGCUUGGCGGUUCCUUCUAUGUCAAACGUUCUAUUUAAAUAGAGAGAAAAGAGGAGUAAUAAUUGUUAAAACCCUUUUGCAGUUUUAAAAAGGCAUAUAAAUAGUAAAGGACCAGUUACCUUGCUUGAGAAAUUUGUACAGUACCUAGUUGUUCCUGAAAGAGUGUACUGACAGGAGCUGAAAAGCCUACCUGGAAGAGAAUAUGGUCCCAAAUUCCAAAGGCAGAAAGGAACACAGGUUAAAUAGAAGGAGCAGUAACAACCCAGACCAGAGAAGCCAGGCAAAGCCUUGGAGACUAGGUAUACAUAGGAGAUAGCAGUUCUCAAUUCCCAUUCCCUUUGUGCCAAGCACAGGCACCGUGAUCCUUCACUGAAGCUCAGUGAACACUGUUCUCAGAGAGAGGUCCUGUCAGCAUCCACCUACCGAACCAUCAAAUGUGUAUCUGUCUCAGUUCUGCUUGGGAGCCUGAUACAGAUCUUUCCAUCACUCAUGAAGGCCCUAGAAUGCAUCCUCUUUUUUUUUUUUUCCUUCUGGAAAAUAUCAACCAGUUUUGGUAGAUUUUACCUUUCCAUUCUCUGUGUCCCUCCAUUAUUUUGGUCAACUCACCUCUGAAAACAGCAAAGCCUCUCAGGUCUACCGUGGGACACGCAGAAUUACAAGCUGAGCUACCCUCUGGGAUGGAAGCAGGGGUCUGGGAGGGUGGCACUAACGCUUAAUAUUAUUGAGUUAAAAUCUCAAUAAAUUAUCCCAGUAAAUCAUACAAUCAGAAAGACAAAGUCCUUGCCAAUAAAUAUGCACAACUCUCUGCCUAGAGACAAACCCACCUUGAGUUCACUCACGCAACCCAAUACCCAUAAACUACUCUCCAUAAAGCAAUGGAAAAGAGGAGCUGAGGUUAACAAAGUUCUUUCAGCCUACCCACGUAGGCUGACAUUUAUCUGCAUGCAUAGAACUCACAACAUUUAUUGUAGCAGAGUACAUAUUUCAGAAAACUGAUUUUGCUUUUUCCUAUAGCUGAUAACCUGGAAAAUACAGUCAUCUGUACUCUGUCUCCCAGGCGAUAGUGCAAAUCAGUAAAGAGUUUCCAUUGAUGGUUCUUUUGCAGACUCUAACCACAAUUGAACUCUCUGCUUUCCAUCAGUCGCCCACCCUGUUGUGUACAAAGAAGCAGAUAUGCAAUAUAGCAGGAGCCCCAAGAAAAGGUCUGGCUGUUCUGUCAAAACUAUUUAGUUCAAUAUUGUUCUCAAUGUGGCACCAUAGCCCUGGACAUGACACCCAGCACGUCCAAACAGACAUGAUUAUAUAUGAGACAGAAAGGCACUUACAUCACUGCGGGUUGUUAUGCUUUAAAGGGCUUUUUCCCCCCUCUUCAAAUUAAAAGUUUUCAAAAAUGAAAUAAAAAUAAACCUUUGAAGAAACCAGAUUGAGACUGAAUUUGGAAGGCCCUCCUGCCUAGUGUAUACUAAAGAAACAUUUUCUGGGUUUGUCCCUGAUGAUUUUCCUUGUAGUUGAGAAACACAAUCCACUGGAAGCUUUUGUGGCAGAACAAGAAUUUUAUGAACACGAACUUUACAAAGACUUCCCUAGGAGAUUUAAGGUCUGGAAAUCAAUAGAUCAAUCAGCAGCUUUUAUCAAUCUAUAAUGGUUCUCUCUCUUUGGAUGUUUGGAUGAAAAUGGGAUCAACGUAAAUUGAACAUGGAAUCACUUAUUCUUACAAGUUAAAUUUGUCAAACUGUAAGGCACAUAAAUGACAUGAAAUGUAAUCAUUUUUGAAUUUGGGACCCUACAGGGUGCACGUUGAUUGAAGAAAAAACAAGCAGAUGUUGCUUCAGCAUAACUCAUAGAGGCAAUCUAAAUGUUCUUCAAUCCCUGACACUUCUGAUCGUUUCCCAAAUAAACCAGUUCAUUAGUUAA
This 4681-nucleotide long non-coding RNA is filed under the name Homo sapiens (human). RNAcentral describes it as "long independently transcribed non-coding RNA 2955, transcript variant 13 (LINC02955)". The record is from RNAcentral. Lineage: Eukaryota; Metazoa; Chordata; Mammalia; Primates; Hominidae.